Molecule: ribosomal RNA, 333 nt
Filed under: uncultured bacterium
Lineage: Bacteria
Description: bacterial SSU rRNA
Rfam family: Bacterial small subunit ribosomal RNA
Source: RNAcentral
GAUGAACGCUGGCGGCGUGCCUAACACAUGCAAGUCGAGCGAAGCGCUCAGGAGGAAGUUUUCGGAUGGAAUCCUGAAUGACUGAGGCGGCGUACGGGUGAGUACGCCGUGGUAACCUGCCUCGAUACAGGGGGUAUAACAGUUAGGAAACGGCUAGCUAAUACCGCAUAAGCGCACAGUACCGCAUGGUAACGGUGUUGAAAAACUCCGGUGGUAAUGAGAUGGACCCGCGUCUGAUUAGCUAGUUGGUAGGGGUAACGGCCUACCAAGGCGACGAUCAGUAGCCGGACCUGAGAGGGUGACCGGCCACAUUGGGACUGAGACACGGCCCAA